AACGAACGCUGGCGGCGCGCCUAAUACAUGCAAGUCGAGCGAGAAGACGUAGCAAUACGUUUGUAAGCGGCGAACGGGUGAGGAAUACAUGGGUAACCUACCCUCGAGUGGGGAAUAACUAGCCGAAAGGUUAGCUAAUACCGCGUACGCUCCUUGGACUUCGGUUCAGGGAGGAAAGCGAUACCGUGGGUAUCGCGCUCUUGGAUGGGCUCAUGUCCUAUCAGCUUGUUGGUGAGGUAACGGCUCACCAAGGCUUCGACGGGUAGCUGGUCUGAGAGGACGAUCAGCCACACUGGCACUGCGACACGGGCCAGACUCCUACGGGAGGCAGCAGUAAGGAAUAUUGCGCAAUGGGCGAAAGCCUGACGCAGCGACGCCGCGUGGGGGA
This 388-nucleotide ribosomal RNA is filed under the name uncultured bacterium. RNAcentral's name for it is "bacterial SSU rRNA". It matches the Rfam family "Bacterial small subunit ribosomal RNA", at positions 29 to 408 of the family's 1533-position model. The record is from RNAcentral.